UACGAAGGGGGCUAGCGUUGCUCGGAAUCACUGGGCGUAAAGGGCGCGUAGGCGGCCAUUCAAGUCGGAGGUGAAAGCCCAGGGCUCAACCCUGGAAUUGCCUUCGAUACUGUUUGGCUCGAGACCGGAAGAGGUAAGUGGAACUGCGAGUGUAGAGGUGAAAUUCGUAGAUAUUCGCAAGAACACCAGUGGCGAAGGCGGCUCACUGGCCCGUUACUGACGCUCAUGCACGAAGGCCAGGGGAGCAAACGGG
Molecule: ribosomal RNA, 253 nt
Filed under: uncultured bacterium
Lineage: Bacteria
Description: partial 16S ribosomal RNA
Rfam family: Bacterial small subunit ribosomal RNA
Source: RNAcentral